UGCAGAAUCCCGUGAACCAUCGAGUCUUUGAACGCAAGUUGCGCCCCAAGCCUUUAGGCCGAGGGCACGUCUGCCUGGGUGUCACGCAUCGUUGCCCCCUCAACCCCACGCCUCGAACGAGUCGUGGGGACGUGUUGCGGGCGGAUAUUGGCCUCCCGUGCGACGCGUAUCUCGCGGUUGGCCCAAAUUUGAGUCCUCGGUAAUGGACGCCGUGACGUUCGGUGGUGGCAAAUAAGAAACCNUCGAGCUCUCGUCACGCGUACAUUGUCGGUCUAAGGCUCUCGGACCCUGAAGCACGCAUCGCGACCCCA
This 311-nucleotide ribosomal RNA is filed under the name Deinbollia mezilii. RNAcentral describes it as "eukaryotic LSU rRNA". The stretch from base 1 to 84 matches the Rfam family "5.8S ribosomal RNA", at positions 73 to 154 of the family's 154-position model. Lineage: Eukaryota; Viridiplantae; Streptophyta; Magnoliopsida; Sapindales; Sapindaceae. The record is from RNAcentral.